AUUGAACGCUGGCGGCAGGCCUAACACAUGCAAGUCGAGCGGAUGAAGGGAGCUUGCUCCUGGAUUCAGCGGCGGACGGGUGAGUAAUGCCUAGGAAUCUGCCUGGUAGUGGGGGAUAACGUCCGGAAACGGGCGCUAAUACCGCAUACGUCCUGAGGGAGAAAGUGGGGGAUCUUCGGACCUCACGCUAUCAGAUGAGCCUAGGUCGGAUUAGCUAGUUGGUGGGGUAAAGGCCUACCAAGGCGACGAUCCGUAACUGGUCUGAGAGGAUGAUCAGUCACACUGGAACUGAGACACGGUCCAGACUCCGACGGGAGGCAGCAGUGGGGAAUAUUGGACAAUGGGCGAAAGCCUGAUCCAGCCAUGCCGCGUGUGUGAAGAAGGGCUUCGGAUUGUAAAGCACUUUAAGUUGGGAGGAAGGGCAGUAAGUUAAUACCUUGCUGUUUUGACGUUACCAACAGAAUAAGCACCGGCUAACUUCGU
Molecule: ribosomal RNA, 483 nt
Filed under: uncultured bacterium
Lineage: Bacteria
Description: partial 16S ribosomal RNA
Rfam family: Bacterial small subunit ribosomal RNA
Source: RNAcentral